AUGCGGAGGGUGCAAGCGUUACUCGGAAUCACUGGGCGUAAAGCGCGCGCAGGCGGCUAUUUAAGUUGGAUGUGAAAGCCUACGGCUCAACCGUAGAACUGCAUCCAAAACUAUUUAGCUAGAGUGUGGGAGAGGAAGAUGGAAUUAGUUGUGUAGGGGUAAAAUCCGUAGAGAUAACUAGGAAUACCAAAAGCGAAGGCAAUCUUCUGGAACACUACUGACGCUGAGGCGGGAAAGCGUGGGGAGCAAACAGGAUUAGAAACCCUAGUAGUCC
This 274-nucleotide ribosomal RNA is filed under the name uncultured bacterium. RNAcentral describes it as "partial 16S ribosomal RNA". It matches the Rfam family "Bacterial small subunit ribosomal RNA", at positions 523 to 796 of the family's 1533-position model. The record is from RNAcentral.